GACGAACGCUGGCGGCGUGCUUAACACAUGCAAGUCGAACGGAAAGGCCCUGCUUUUGUGGGGUGCUCGAGUGGCGAACGGGUGAGUAACACGUGAGUAACCUGCCCUUGACUUUGGGAUAACUUCAGGAAACUGGGGCUAAUACCGGAUAGGAGCUCCUGCUGCAUGGUGGGGGUUGGAAAGUUUCGGCGGUUGGGGAUGGACUCGCGGCUUAUCAGCUUGUUGGUGGGGUAGUGGCUUACCAAGGCUUUGACGGGUAGCCGGCCUGAGAGGGUGACCGGCGACCUUGGGACUGAGAUACGGCCCAGACUCCUACGGGAGGCAACAGUGGGGAAUAUUGCCCAAUGGGCGGAAGCCUGAUGCAGCAACGCCGCGUGCGGGAUGACGGCCUUCGGGUUGUAAACCGCUUUCGCCUGUGACGAAGCGUGAGUGACGGUAAUGGGUAAAGAAGCACCGGCUAACUACGUG
RNAcentral lists this ribosomal RNA (468 nucleotides) under uncultured bacterium. RNAcentral's name for it is "partial 16S ribosomal RNA". It matches the Rfam family "Bacterial small subunit ribosomal RNA", at positions 28 to 507 of the family's 1533-position model. The record is from RNAcentral.